RNAcentral lists this ribosomal RNA (425 nucleotides) under uncultured bacterium. RNAcentral's name for it is "bacterial SSU rRNA". It matches the Rfam family "Bacterial small subunit ribosomal RNA", at positions 354 to 796 of the family's 1533-position model. The record is from RNAcentral.
GUUAGGAAUAUUGGACAAUGGGCGCAAGCCUGAUCCAGCCAUGCCGCGUGAGUGAUGAAGGCCUUCGGGUUGUAAAGCUCUUUAGCCGAUGAUUAUAAUGACUGUAGUCGGAAAAUAAGCCCCGGCUAACUUCGUGCCAGCAGCCGCGGUAAUACGAAGGGGGCGAGCGUUAUUCGGAAUCACUGGGCGUAAAGCGUGCGUAGGCGGCUUUGCAAAUUGGGAGUGAAAGCCCAGGGCUCAACCCUGGAAUGGCUCUCAAAACUGCAAGGCUCGAAUUCGGGAGAUGAUAGCGGAAUUGUCAGUGUAGCAGUGAAAUGCGUAGAUAUUGACAGGAACACCAGUGGCGUAAGCGGCUAUCUGGACCGAUAUUGACGCUGAGGCACGAAAGCGUGGGGAUCAAACAGGAUUAGAAACCCUGGUAGUCC